This 253-nucleotide ribosomal RNA is filed under the name uncultured bacterium. Its description in RNAcentral is "partial 16S ribosomal RNA". It matches the Rfam family "Bacterial small subunit ribosomal RNA", at positions 524 to 776 of the family's 1533-position model. The record is from RNAcentral.
UACGGAGGGUGCAAGCGUUAUCCGGAUUCACUGGGUUUAAAGGGUGCGUAGGCGGGUAUGUAAGUCAGCGGUGAAAUCCCCGAGCUUAACUUGGGAACUGCCGUUGAUACUAUAUAUCUUGAAUGUUGUGGAGGUUAGCGGAAUAUGUCAUGUAGCGGUGAAAUGCUUAGAUAUGACAUAGAACACCCAUUGCGAAGGCAGCUAACUACGCAAAUAUUGACGCUGAGGCACGAAAGCGUGGGGAUCAAACAGG